GGCCAGGUGUGACCAGGUACUGGGGAAAAAAUAAGAAGCUGCCAUCAGUUGAGAAGAUGGCCCUGGCAACUGGCUAUCAACUGAAAAUCCUGCAAAUGGAUAUUUCUCCUGUGAAGCAGCACUGUGCCCAUCCCACUAUGAUUCAGGAGUCUCGCAGAAGACAUCAGAACACCUUUCUCUGAGUCACAGUCUGUAUCUUCUAGAAAAGGCUGUCCAUCUUCACCCCAAGCCCACUGGCUCCUGAGAUAAGACAUCCAGACCCAGUGCAGCUGGACCUGGCCCAGGAAGAUCAUGCGGUUUCUGGGAAGCACUGGAGAAGGAAAAGGCUGAAGAAAGGAAGACCGGAAAAGAAAUACAAGUCCUUCCGCCUUGGCAAAGAUGAUAGUACCGUUCCCUUCAGUGUUCUGGUUCUGCUCUAUUGGAUAAGUUCCGGUUUGACUAUGACUACGUGAAAAUGUGGAACCAGACCUUCACCCCACAUUCCAGCUCCAGCUCUACCACAGAGGAAGUGCAAUAUCACCUUCGUUAUUCAACACAGUAUGCUCCUCGUGAUACAACCAGAGUUCACAUCAGCAAUCUUGGCAGCUCUCACCACGCUGCUGACUCACGACUCUCUCAUGUCCCAAUUUCCUGUCCAUUGUUCUUUCCUCUACUUGGCCUGAUUUCUAAAGGCCUCUCUUGGUUGCAUUAAGCGGGAUUCCUGAGGGAUUCCCUUGGCAGUUACCUUGGGGGAGCUCUUAGGUUUGGGGCUGAUCCAUGUCCUCUAAAUGUAGGACUUCAAAGCUCCCAAAGAUAGGCAGACCCAGUGGGAAGCUGGGAAAUGCUCUCUGACCCCUCUGGGAGAGCUGGCAGUCAGAGGGCCUUUUGGAAAGAGUCAGACCUGAUCCAUAAGUCCCUGGAAAACACCCUGCCCAGGGAGCAAAUGCCACUGUGGCCUUGACUGAGGCUUCAGAAGAGUUUGGGAGCUGCAAUUCAUCCACACACGCAUUCAUUUUCAAGUAGUGGUUUGCAGUUCAGGCUUUGGAGCCACAUAAGCCUGGCUUCAAAGCCACUUUCCAGCUUUGUGACUUUAGGAAGUCUCUACAUUUUUAAACCUCCAUUUUUUUUCCUGUAAAACUGGGGUCUUCAUGGUACUUACUUCAUUGUGAUGUUGAGAGAAUGAAAAGAAAAAGGAUAAAUAAAUGGCUUAGCCUCGUGCCUUGGCACAUAUUGUGA
RNAcentral lists this long non-coding RNA (1215 nucleotides) under Pongo abelii (Sumatran orangutan). RNAcentral describes it as "lincRNA". Lineage: Eukaryota; Metazoa; Chordata; Mammalia; Primates; Hominidae. The record is from RNAcentral.